This 277-nucleotide long non-coding RNA is filed under the name Carica papaya (papaya). Its description in RNAcentral is "long non-coding RNA (CPAP_LNC002863)". Lineage: Eukaryota; Viridiplantae; Streptophyta; Magnoliopsida; Brassicales; Caricaceae. The record is from RNAcentral.
UUUCUGCCUAGCUUGAAAUGCACCUUCAACACCUUCACUUUUCUAAGGUUUGAUCUUUGUUCCUGAGCAUGCAAUUUACUUAUAAGUUUUGCAACAGAGAAGACUUUAAGAUCACAUGAUUCCUCUAUAGUAGAAAUCUUAAGCACAAACCUCGCCGGAAGAUUUAUCAAAAUCUUUUCAACUAUUUUAAAAUCUGGAAAUGUUUCUCCAUAUAACUUGAUUUUAUUAACCAUUUCUUGUAACUUUGCUGCAUAUUCUUUAACAGACUCGCCCUCUU